Molecule: ribosomal RNA, 446 nt
Filed under: uncultured bacterium
Lineage: Bacteria
Description: bacterial SSU rRNA
Rfam family: Bacterial small subunit ribosomal RNA
Source: RNAcentral
CCCAGACUCCUACGGGAGGCAGCAGUGGGGGAUAUUGCACAAUGGGGGGAACCCUGAUGCAGCGACGCCGCGUGGGUGAAGGAGCGUUUCGGCGCGUAAAGCCCUAUCGGCAGGGAAGAAGGAGGACGGUACCUGACUAAGAAGCCCCGGCUAACUACGUGCCAGCAGCCGCGGUAAUACGUAGGGGGCAAGCGUUAUCCGGAUUUACUGGGUGUAAAGGGGGCGCAGACGGCAGCGCAAGCCAGGAGUGAAAGCCCGGGGCCCAACCCCGGGACUGCUCUUGGAACUGCGCGGCUGGAGUGCAGGAGGGGCAGGCGGAAUUCCUGGUGUAGCGGUGAAAUGCGUAGAUAUCAGGAGGAACACCGGUGGCGAAGGCGGCCUGCUGGACUGCGACUGACGUUGAGGCCCGAAAGCGUGGGGAGCAAACAGGAUUAGAUACCCUCGCA